Molecule: transfer RNA, 71 nt
Filed under: Camelus bactrianus (Bactrian camel)
Lineage: Eukaryota; Metazoa; Chordata; Mammalia; Artiodactyla; Camelidae
Also listed under: 2 other names
Rfam family: tRNA
About the family: Transfer RNA (tRNA) molecules are approximately 80 nucleotides in length. Their secondary structure includes four short double-helical elements and three loops (D, anti-codon, and T loops).
Source: Rfam by way of RNAcentral
GAGGGUAUAGCUCAGCAGUAGAGCAUGGUUUUAGCAUGCACAAGGUCUGGGUUCAAUCCCCAAUACCUCCA